UGCAGGUUUUUAUAUAUAAAAAAAUAAUAAAUACAGUUAAUACAUUACUAGUUUAAGUUUUCAUGUGACAAAUAAAACAUGUUCACUACUAAAAUAAUAUUCACCUGUUACCUAAGGAAAAAUAAUUGAACAAAAAUGAGCGUUCGACUUAGCGAGUUUAGAUGUUGAUUACAAAUGUAAUUUCAACUACCUAAAACCAACGCAGUUUUAUUAUAAAAUGCAUAUCUAACACAUAUAACAAAUAUGAGAGCUACUCACGCACCCAGCGUAUCACAUUAAUGCAUAAAUAUGAGAGUUAAUCCACUAUACAGCUCUUUCAAUUCAAAUCUCGCCAGCGAGCUCAACUCAAAUCGGACUUUCACUCAACUCAAAGCCGUGUCUUACCUCGACUUUCCAUAUCUAUAAGGAUAGGGUUCAACGAGAUUAGUUUGAGCCGCGACUACUGGUCCAAUUCACAUCCAUCAUUUACUAUAUAUAUAUAUAUAACGCACUUACGCACAACUCUAAAUUAUUCCCAAGGCGGCAAAUACAAAUAAUUAUCUAUAAAUAAAUAUGUAACAAUAAGAGUGCUUCUAAUUUAUUUAACUGAGCAUGAAACUAUAUUUAUAAAAUGCAUGAGCAUGCUAAAAAUAUAUACAUAAUAUUAAAAUUACAUAAUAUAAUCAAUAUCCAACUCACAAAGCUAAUGACCCUAUUGUAGUUAGUCUAGAUGGAAGAAGAAGACGGCUAGUCCCGAUCAUCUAUACCGAUACACUGACUUUUAUUAAUUGAUUGACAGAAUUAACAAAUUAAUUUAAUCUACAGAAACAAGAAUAAAUUCUAAAGUUUUACUUAAAUUUCGGUAAAGUCUCCCCUAUAACUAAACCUAACUCCUUGCAACUAAACUCAACAAACAGCAUCAACAACAAUCCAAAUUGGCCUCAAGCUCGCAACAAACUCACGAUACGUAUCCAGGGCCUAUACGAAACCUAAUCUAAAUUUAAAUCUCUAAUCUCC
This 996-nucleotide unclassified non-coding RNA is filed under the name Hevea brasiliensis (rubber tree). The record is from RNAcentral. Lineage: Eukaryota; Viridiplantae; Streptophyta; Magnoliopsida; Malpighiales; Euphorbiaceae.